Nicotiana tabacum (common tobacco) is the source of this 2229-nucleotide non-coding RNA. NCBI's taxonomy places the organism in Eukaryota, Viridiplantae, Streptophyta, Magnoliopsida, Solanales, Solanaceae. The record is from RefSeq and is a predicted model, not a curated record.
CUUCAGCCUAGGGCCAUUCCUUGUAUGUUUAUUAGUUAUCCCUUUGGGAAGAAAGCCUAUAAGUUGUAUGACUUACAGAAUAAAACCUGUUUUAUCUCCAGAGAUGUUAUAUUUCAUGAACAUAUAUUCCCUUUUAUUCAAUCUGGAUCUACUUCCCCUACUAUGUCAAAUUUAUCAUUUUUUGCCUGUUUUGAUCACUCUGUUAAGCAGAAUUCUUCACUGUUCCAUGAUUCCUUUUACCCUGCCCCAUCAGUUACAUCUCCUGUUUCUCCUUAUCCCUCCAACUCUGCUCCUCAUGACUCUGAAAUAUCUCUGAACAGCUCUCCUGCUCCUCCUAAUCUUCCUUCUUCUUCUAUAAAUCUGAAUUCCCUCCUUUAAGGAGAUCAUCUAGAUCUCACAAUCCUCCUUCUUAUCUGCAGAAUUAUGUCUGCACUUUACCUAAUCAUAACUCUAGGUCUGCCAAUUCAACUGUUAUGUCUACUUCUAGUGAGCAUCAUGCAUUUGAGCCUGCUACUUAUUCUCAGGCAGCAGCUAUCCCUGAGUGGCAGAAUGUUAUGAGAAAAGAGUUUGAGGCAUUGGAGACUAAUGGUACUUGGGACAUAGUUGAGUUACCCAAGGGCAAGAAGCCAAUUGGCUGCAAAUAGGUAUACAAAAUUAAAUACAAAGCUGAUGGGAGCAUAGAAAGAUAUAAAGCUAGGCUUGUGGUAAGGGGUGAUACGCAGGUUGAAGGCAUUGAUUUUCAUGAAACCUUCUCACCUAUAAUUAAAAUGUCUACUAUUAAAACUUUAAUUACUGUAGUUGUUAAAAGACAAUGGCCUAUAUUCCAACUAGAUGUUAAUAAUACUUUCUUGCAUGGGGACUUAGAUGAAAAAGUUUUUAUGAAGCUUCCACCUGGUCUUUCUGUAUGUAUUGUACCCCCUGCUUCUACUUCCACUCCUUUGGUCUGUAAACUCAAAAAAUCUUUGUAUGGAUUGAGACAAGCUUCAAGGCAAUGGUAUGCCAAGUUGUCUCAAUCUUUGUCUUCUAGAGGCUAUGAACACUUCUUUAAUGACUAUUCACUUUUCACCAAAGGUUCUGGUGAUGCUUUGGUACUCUUAGUAGUGUAUGUUGAUGACAUUAUCAUCACUGGGACAUGUCUGUGUGAGAUUGCUGCUGUGAAAACCUUCUUCCAUGAUCAAUUUAAAAUUAAGGAUUUAUGCCAUCUUAACUAUUUUCUGGGUAUUGAAGAGAUGCAUUCUGAGGGUGGAGUGUUACUGCACCAGAAAAAGUUUGUGUAUGAUCUCCUCAAAGAGUUCCAUUCCUAUGAUUAUUCUUAAGUGAUAUCCCCUCUUGAGAUGAAUGACAAGUUGCAGGCUGCUCAUGGUGAUCCCCUGCCCAAUCCUGAGACAUAUAGGUGUUUAGUGGGUAAGCUCAACUUCUUAACCCACACCAGACUUGACAUUUGUUUUGCAGCGCAACAUUUAAGUCAGUUUAUGCAGAAGCCUUGCCUUCCUUACUUGCAGGCUGCUUUAUGUUUGCUCAGGUAUCUCAAGGGUACUAUUGAUUUUGGGAUUUUCUAUAAUAAUUCUCCUGAUCUUUCUCUCAGUGUCUAUUGUGAUAGUGAUUGGAGAUCUUGCCCGGAUAGUAGAAAGUCCAUCAGUGGAUUUUUCAUUUUAUUAGGGGGAUGUCUAGUAGGCUGGAAGUCAAAGAAACAAUUUGUGGUCUCCUUGUCCUCUGCAGAAGCUGCAUAUAGCUAGGCAGCCAUCCACAUUGCUAAGAAUCCUGUCUUCCAUGAGCGCACCAAGCACAUUGAAUUGGACUGCCAUUUUGUUCGCACCAAGUUGCAUGAGGGUCUGCUUCAGCUGCUUCACACUUCCAGUGCCAAUUACCUCGCUGAUAUGUUCACUAAACCUUUGGGGGGAGUUGUCCAUCAUCUGCAUCUUUGCAAGUUGGGGGUUAUCUCACCCUCCAACUUGUCGGGGGGUGUUGAGAUACAAGCAAAUGCAAAUGCUGUUACUUAGCCACUUGGGCACUUGGGAUUCUUUUCUUCUUUUAUCUUCUUUCUCUCAUUAUUGGGCCCAGAAACCCACUAUGUAUUUAUCUUAGGCAUUGUAAUUAGUUGAGUUGUGUAUAUAAAGACCGAGUCAGCCCAUCUCAUCGGGUAAGAAGGAAAAUAAAGAUUGUAUAGACUCUUUCUGAUUCUCUCAGUGAAAUACAAGGAAAACCUAGAAGCUUCCAUUUUUCUCUCAA